Molecule: ribosomal RNA, 492 nt
Filed under: uncultured bacterium
Lineage: Bacteria
Description: partial 16S ribosomal RNA
Rfam family: Bacterial small subunit ribosomal RNA
Source: RNAcentral
AGUGAACGCUGGCGGUAGGCCUAACACAUGCAAGUCGAACGGCAGCACAGUAAGAGCUUGCUCUUACGGGUGGCGAGUGGCGGACGGGUGAGGAAUACAUCGGAAUCUACUUUUUCGCGGGGGAUAACGUAGGGAAACUUACGCUAAUACCGCAUACGACCUACGGUUGAAAGCAGGUGAUCUUCGGACCUUGCGCGAUUCAAUGAGCCGAUGUCGGAUUAGCUAGUUGGCGUGGUAAAGGCCCACCACGACGACGAUCCCUAGCUGGUCUUAUAGGAUGAGUUGCUACACUGGAACUGACACAGGCUCUAGACACCUACGUGCGGAAGCGGUUGGUAAUUAUCGACAAUAGGCGCAAGCCUGCUACAGCCAUAACGCGUGGGUGCAGAAGGCGGUUGAGUUUUAGAGCCAUUUUGUUGCGAAAAAAAAGCAGCUGAUUAAUACCCCGGUGUUCUGACGGUACCCAAAGAAUAAGCACCGGCUAACUUCGUG